UUUCCGUAGGUGAACCUGCGGAAGGAUCAUUAUUGUAUAACCGAGGUGCGAGGGCUGUCGCUGACCCGAAAGGUCGUGCACGCCCGAGUGCCCUCACACACAUCCACCUCACCCCUAUGUGCACCACCGCGUGGGUCCCCCUUUGGCUUGUUCGGAGGGGGGCUUACGUGUUCACACAGACUUUGUAUGCAGUGUAGAAUGUAUUUUUUGUUUUUGCGAUCACGCAAUCAAUACAACUUUCAACAACGGAUCUCUUGGCUCUC
Molecule: unclassified non-coding RNA, 263 nt
Filed under: plant metagenome
Description: partial contains small subunit ribosomal RNA, internal transcribed spacer 1, and 5.8S ribosomal RNA
Source: RNAcentral